UUUCGAUUGAGGGAACAUCUGUAGUAAAUAUUUAGAAAUUAACGCAACCAUCAAAAAAUUAUCAAUUAGAAGUUGUAUGUAUAUUCGCAAGAAAUUUGAACUUUAUUUCACUGCCACGUGAUUGAUUAUGCUAAACGAGGAGAGAUUAGAAGAAGAUGUUUCAAUGCGGGGUACCUCGCCCUUAGAAAAUGCAGACGAUUCCUACCCUGGGCCUUUAUUACAUCAUGAGAUGGAUGGCCCCUUUACAUGUUGCAAAAAAAUCUAGGAGGACGAAGCUUAUUUGCACACCCAUUAAGAUUAAUAAUCUCGCCAUGAUUAAACAGAUUGUCGGCCACCUCUGCAGCUUCCUGACAAGCAAUGACAUCAAACAAUGUCGACUCGUCUCGCACGUUUGGAAUUAUGGGUCCACCCCCAAACUAAAAGCAAAGACAAGAACAAGAAUCUCCUUAUGUCGAAAUGAUACUGCUAUUUUCGAUGUUAUCGACAAACUGAAAUUCUCCGCGGUCAACGUCCUUUUACAAGUCAUAGCUGUACCUGCACUCAAUUUGCCCCCCAUCGACCUCGAAAUAUUCCCCAUGAUGAGAAAUGCAGGGUUCGGAAGAACCCAGGGUUUUAAUCAAAAAUGAUAAAACCCAUGGGUUUUAAUGGGUUUUACCAUGUUAAUUGGGUUUU
Molecule: RNA transcript, 672 nt
Organism: Folsomia candida
Lineage: Eukaryota; Metazoa; Arthropoda; Collembola; Entomobryomorpha; Isotomidae
Exons: 3
Source: RefSeq, a predicted model, not a curated record